UUUAUGGAGAGUUUGAUCCUGGCUCAGGAUGAACGCUGGCGGCGUGCCUAAUACAUGCAAGUCGAGCGAACGGACGAGAAGCUUGCUUUUCUGAUGUUAGCGGCGGACGGGUGAGUAACACGUGGAUAACCUACCUAUAAGACUGGGAUAACUUCGGGAAACCGGAGCUAAUACCGGAUAAUAUUUUGAACCGCAUGGUUCAAAAGUGAAAGACGGUCUUGCUGUCACUUAUAGAUGGAUCCGCGCUGCAUUAGCUAGUUGGUAAGGUAACGGCUUACCACAGGCAACGAUGCAUAGCCGACCUGAGAGGGUGAUCGGCCACACUGGAACUGAGACACGGUCCAGACUCCUACGGGAGGCAGCAGUAGGGAAUCUUCCGCAAUGGGCGAAAGCCUGACGGAGCAACGCCGCGUGAGUGAUGAAGGUCUUCGGAUCGUAAAACUCUGUUAUUAGGGAAGAACAUAUGUGUAAGUAACUGUGCACAUCUUGACGGUACCUAAUCAGAAAGCCACGGCUAACUACGUGCCAGCAGCCGCGGUAAUACGUAGGUGGCAAGCGUUAUCCGGAAUUAUUGGGCGUAAAGCGCGCGUAGGCGGUUUUUUAAGUCUGAUGUGAAAGCCCACGGCUCAACCGUGGAGGGUCAUUGGAAACUGGAAAACUUGAGUGCAGAAGAGGAAAGUGGAAUUCCAUGUGUAGCGGUGAAAUGCGCAGAGAUAUGGAGGAACACCAGUGGCGAAGGCGACUUUCUGGUCUGUAACUGACGCUGAUGUGCGAAAGCGUGGGGAUCAAACAGGAUUAGAUACCCUGGUAGUCCACGCCGUAAACGAUGAGUGCUAAGUGUUAGGGGUUUCCGCCCCUUAGUGCUGCAGCUAACGCAUUAAGCACUCCGCCUGGGGAGUACGACCGCAAGGUUGAAACUCAAAGGAAUUGACGGGGACCCGCACAAGCGGUGGAGCAUGUGGUUUAAUUCGAAGCAACGCGAAGAACCUUACCAAAUCUUGACAUCCUUUGACAACUCUAGAGAUAGAGCCUUCCCCUUCGGGGGACAAAGUGACAGGUGGUGCAUGGUUGUCGUCAGCUCGUGUCGUGAGAUGUUGGGUUAAGUCCCGCAACGAGCGCAACCCUUAAGCUUAGUUGCCAUCAUUAAGUUGGGCACUCUAAGUUGACUGCCGGUGACAAACCGGAGGAAGGUGGGGAUGACGUCAAAUCAUCAUGCCCCUUAUGAUUUGGGCUACACACGUGCUACAAUGGACAAUACAAAGGGCAGCGAAACCGCGAGGUCAAGCAAAUCCCAUAAAGUUGUUCUCAGUUCGGAUUGUAGUCUGCAACUCGACUACAUGAAGCUGGAAUCGCUAGUAAUCGUAGAUCAGCAUGCUACGGUGAAUACGUUCCCGGGUCUUGUACACACCGCCCGUCACACCACGAGAGUUUGUAACACCCGAAGCCGGUGGAGUAACCUUUUAGGAGCUAGCCGUCGAAGGUGGGACAAAUGAUUGGGGUGAAGUCGUAACAAGGUAGCCGUAUCGGAAGGUGCGGCUGGAUCACCUCCUUU
RNAcentral lists this ribosomal RNA (1552 nucleotides) under Staphylococcus aureus. RNAcentral's name for it is "16S ribosomal RNA". It matches the Rfam family "Bacterial small subunit ribosomal RNA". Lineage: Bacteria; Bacillati; Bacillota; Bacilli; Caryophanales; Staphylococcaceae. The record is from RNAcentral.